RNAcentral lists this ribosomal RNA (682 nucleotides) under uncultured Fibrobacter sp. Its description in RNAcentral is "bacterial SSU rRNA". It matches the Rfam family "Bacterial small subunit ribosomal RNA", at positions 163 to 850 of the family's 1533-position model. The record is from RNAcentral. Lineage: Bacteria; Pseudomonadati; Fibrobacterota; Fibrobacteria; Fibrobacterales; Fibrobacteraceae.
UUAAUGUCCAGGAGAGUGGCCCUCCGCAUGGAGGGUUGACUAGAGAUUUAUCGGUAUGGGAUGAGCUUGCGUCCGAUUAGCUAGUUGGCGGGGCAACGGCCCACCAAGGCGACGAUCGGUAGCCGGACUGAGAGGGUGAUCGGCCACAUUGGGACUGAGAUACGGCCCAGACUCCUACGGGAGGCAGCAGUAGGGAAUAUUGCACAAUGGGGGAAACCCUGAUGCAGCAACGCCACGUGUGGGAAGAAGCAUUUCGGUGUGCAAACCACUGUCAUGAGGGAAUAAGGCCCGCCUCCGGGCGGGAUUGAAUGUACCUUGAGAGGAAGCACCGGCAAACUUCGUGCCAGCAGCCGCGGUAAUACGAGGGUGCAAGCGUUGUUCGGAAUUACUGGGCGUAAAGGGAGCGUAGGCGGAGAUUCAAGCGGAUUGUACAAUCCCGGGGCCCAACCCCGGCUCUGCAGUCCGAACUGGAUCUCUUGGAUAGUUCAGGGGCAGGCGGAAUUCCUGGUGUAGCGGUGGAAUGCGUAGAGAUCAGGAAGAACACCGAUGGCGAAGGCAGCCUGCUGGGGACUUAUCGACGCUGAGGCUCGAAAGUGCGGGUAGCAAACAGGAUUAGAUACCCUGGUAGUCCGCACCGUAAACAAUGCAUACUGGGUGUCCGGGGGUUCCCCCGGGUACCGUA